This 253-nucleotide ribosomal RNA is filed under the name uncultured bacterium. RNAcentral's name for it is "partial 16S ribosomal RNA". It matches the Rfam family "Bacterial small subunit ribosomal RNA", at positions 524 to 776 of the family's 1533-position model. The record is from RNAcentral.
UACGUAGGUGGCAAGCGUUGUCCGGAUUUACUGGGCGUAAAGGGAGCGUAGGCGGGCUUUUAAGUGGGAUGUGAAAUACCCGGGCUUAACCUGGGUGCUGCAUUCCAAACUGGAAGUCUAGAGUGCAGGAGGGGAAAGUGGAAUUCCUAGUGUAGCGGUGAAAUGCGUAGAGAUUAGGAAGAACACCAGUGGCGAAGGCGACUUUCUGGACUGUAACUGACGCUGAGGCUCGAAAGCGUGGGGAGCGAACAGG